CCUACGGGUGGCAGCAGUGAGGAAUAUUGGUCAAUGGGCGCGAGCCUGAACCAGCCAAGUCGCGUGAGGGAUGACGGUCCUACGGAUUGUAAACCUCUUUUGCCGGGGAGCAAGUGUGCGUUCGUGAACGCGCGUCGAGAGUACCCGGAGAAAAAGCAUCGGCUAACUCCGUGCCAGCAGCCGCGGUAAUACGGAGGAUGCGGGCGUUAUCCGGAUUUAUUGGGUUUAAAGGGUGCGUAGGCGGGAUGCCAAGUCAGCGGUAAUAAUGCGGUGCUCAACGCCGUCGAGCCGUUGAAACUGGCGUUCUUGAGUGGGCGAGAAGUAUGCGGAAUGCGUGGUGGAGCGGUGAAAUGCAUAGAUAGCACGCAGAAAUCCGAUUGCGAAGGCAGCAUACCGGCGCUCAACUGACGCUCAUGCACGAAAGUGUGGGUAUCGAACAGGAUUAGAUACCCGUGUAGUC
RNAcentral lists this ribosomal RNA (460 nucleotides) under uncultured bacterium. Its description in RNAcentral is "partial 16S ribosomal RNA". It matches the Rfam family "Bacterial small subunit ribosomal RNA", at positions 338 to 795 of the family's 1533-position model. The record is from RNAcentral.